AUACGUAGGGAGCGAGCGUUGUCCGGAAUUACUGGGUGUAAAGGGAGCGUAGGCGGGAUGGCAAGUCAGAUGUGAAAACUCUGGGCUCAACCCAUAGACUGCAUUUGAAACUGUUGUUCUUGAGUGAAGUAGAGGGAAGCGGAAUUCCUGGUGUAGCGGUGAAAUGCGUAGAUAUCAGGAGGAACAUCGGUGGCGAAGGCGGCUUACUGGGCUUUUACUGACGCUGAGGCUCGAAAGCGUGGGGAGCAGACAGGAUUAGAUACCCUGGUAGUCCACGCUGUAAACGAUGAUUACUAGGUGUGGGGGGACUGACCCCUUCCGUGCCGCAGUUAACACAAUAAGUAAUCCACCUGGGGAGUACGGCCGCAAGGUUGAAACUCAAAGGAAUUGGCGGGG
Molecule: ribosomal RNA, 396 nt
Filed under: uncultured bacterium
Lineage: Bacteria
Description: partial 16S ribosomal RNA
Rfam family: Bacterial small subunit ribosomal RNA
Source: RNAcentral